RNAcentral lists this ribosomal RNA (495 nucleotides) under uncultured bacterium. RNAcentral's name for it is "partial 16S ribosomal RNA". It matches the Rfam family "Bacterial small subunit ribosomal RNA", at positions 28 to 505 of the family's 1533-position model. The record is from RNAcentral.
GAUGAACGCUGGCGGCGUGCCUAAUACAUGCAAGUCGAGCGAACAGAUGAGGAGCUUGCUCCUCUGACGUUAGCGGCGGACGGGUGAGUAACACGUGGAUAACCUACCUAUAAGACUGGGAUAACUUCGGGAAACCGGAGCUAAUACCGGAUAAUAUAUUGAACCGCAUGGUUCAAUAGUGAAAGACGGUUUUGCUGUCACUUAUAGAUGGAUCCGCGCCGCAUUAGCUAGUUGGUAAGGUAACGGCUUACCAAGGCAACGAUGCGUAGCCGACCUGAGAGGGUGAUCGGCCACACUGGAACUGAGACACGGUCCAGACUCCUACGGGAGGCAGCAGUAGGGAAUCUUCCGCAAUGGGCGAAAGCUUGACGGAGCAACGCCGCGUGAGUGAUGAAGGUCUUCGGAUCGUAAAACUCUGUUAUUAGGGAAGAACAAAUGUGUAAGUAACUAUGCACGUCUUGACGGGACCUAAUCAGAAAGCCACGGCUAACUACG